RNAcentral lists this ribosomal RNA (467 nucleotides) under uncultured bacterium. Its description in RNAcentral is "partial 16S ribosomal RNA". It matches the Rfam family "Bacterial small subunit ribosomal RNA", at positions 28 to 507 of the family's 1533-position model. The record is from RNAcentral.
GACGAACGCUGGCGGCGUGCUUAACACAUGCGAGUCGAACGAUGAUCCGGAGCUUGCUCCUGUGAUUAGUGGCGAACGGGUGAGUAACACGUGAGUAACCUGCCCCUGACUCUGGGAUAAGCGUUUGAAACGACGUCUAAUACUUGAUAUGAUCACUUGCCGCAUGGUCUGGUGGUGGAAAGAUUGUUUGGUUGGUGAUGGACUCGCGGCCUAUCAGCUUGUUGGUGAGGUAAUGGCUCACCAAGGCUACGACGGGUAGCCGGCCUGAGAGGGUGAACGGGCACAAGGGGACUGAGACACGGCGCAGACUCCUACGGGAGGCAGCAGUGGGGAAUAUUGCACAAUGGGCGAGAGCCUGAUGCAGCGACGCCGCGUGAGGGAUGACGGCCUUCGGGUUGUAAACCUCUUUUAGUAGGGAAGAAGCGAAAGUGACGGUACCUGCAGAAAAAGCACCGGCUAACUACGUG